RNAcentral lists this RNase P RNA (304 nucleotides) under human gut metagenome. RNAcentral describes it as "Bacterial RNase P class A". It matches the Rfam family "Bacterial RNase P class A". Rfam says of the family: Ribonuclease P (RNase P) is a ubiquitous endoribonuclease, found in archaea, bacteria and eukarya as well as chloroplasts and mitochondria. Its best characterised activity is the generation of mature 5'-ends of tRNAs by cleaving the 5'-leader elements of precursor-tRNAs. Cellular RNase Ps are ribonucleoproteins. The record is from RNAcentral.
UUACGUGGAAACGCGAGGAAAGUCCGAACGCCGCAGGACAAGGACGCCGGCUAACUACCGGUGAAGGCGACUUCAAGGAAAGUGCAACAGAAAGUAAACUACCCGCAAGGGAAAAGGUGAAACGGCGAGGUAAAAGCUCACCGCUUCCCCGGCAACGGGGAAGGCAUUGUAAACCCCGUCCGGCGCAAGAUGUAAGAGCAUUCAGAGCUGUCCGCUCGCUCUUCGAUAUCGCUAGAGCCUAUCGGCAACGAUAUGCCCAGACAGAUGAUCGCCCUCGACAGAAUUCGGCUUACAGACCGUCUUG